RNAcentral lists this long non-coding RNA (528 nucleotides) under Capsicum annuum. RNAcentral describes it as "long non-coding RNA (CANN_LNC010834)". The record is from RNAcentral. Lineage: Eukaryota; Viridiplantae; Streptophyta; Magnoliopsida; Solanales; Solanaceae.
UAAAGUUUUCAUCUUUUUUUUUUUCCCCCUCAAUAUCAAAGAGACAAUCAGCUGAUUAAUCGAGUCAUUUGAGGUUAUCUGACCCGAUCCGACCCGUUUGUUGGCGGGGCAUUGAUAUUGCUGGUAGAGCUGGUGGAAGCUAUGGCCGUGAGUGUGAGUAUAAUCGAACUUCUUGAAAGUGGCAAUAAUGAUUUUAGCUAAUUUUUAUGCCAUUGUGAGCUGAUUAAUCCAGCAUUUCGAGGUGACCCGACCCGUUUGUUGGCGGGGCAUUGAUUAUUGCUGGUAGAGCUGGUGGAAGCUAUGGCAGUGAGUAUAAUCGAACUUCUUGAAGCUGGCAAUAAUUAUUUUUAUCGAUUUUUUAUGCCAUUGUGAGCUGAUUAAUCCUGCAUUUCGAGGUGACCCGACCCGUUUGUUGGCGGGUCAUGUUAUGGUUUUUGCAGCCAUGGAGUUGUCAGACUCUCUCUUUGCCCGAUCUUAACACAGAUCUGAGCUUCAGUUUUUCUCAAUUCAGCUUGUAUUUUCUUUAAA